RNAcentral lists this ribosomal RNA (253 nucleotides) under uncultured bacterium. RNAcentral describes it as "partial 16S ribosomal RNA". It matches the Rfam family "Bacterial small subunit ribosomal RNA", at positions 524 to 776 of the family's 1533-position model. The record is from RNAcentral.
UACGGGGGGGGCAAGCGUUGUUCGGAAUUACUGGGCGUAAAGGGCUCGUAGGCGGCUUGUCACGUCGGGUGUGAAAGCCCGGGGCUUAACCCCGGGUCUGCAUUCGAUACGGGCUAGCUAGAGUGUGGUAGGGGAGAUCGGAAUUCCUGGUGUAGCGGUGAAAUGCGCAGAUAUCAGGAGGAACACCGGUGGCGAAGGCGGAUCUCUGGGCCAUUACUGACGCUGAGGAGCGAAAGCGUGGGGAGCGAACAGG